Molecule: ribosomal RNA, 1444 nt
Filed under: Klebsiella pneumoniae
Lineage: Bacteria; Pseudomonadati; Pseudomonadota; Gammaproteobacteria; Enterobacterales; Enterobacteriaceae
Description: bacterial SSU rRNA
Rfam family: Bacterial small subunit ribosomal RNA
Source: RNAcentral
GGUGACGAGCGGCGGACGGGUGAGUAAUGUCUGGGAAACUGCCUGAUGGAGGGGGAUAACUACUGGAAACGGUAGCUAAUACCGCAUAAUGUCGCAAGACCAAAGUGGGGGACCUUCGGGCCUCAUGCCAUCAGAUGUGCCCAGAUGGGAUUAGCUAGUAGGUGGGGUAAUGGCUCACCUAGGCGACGAUCCCUAGCUGGUCUGAGAGGAUGACCAGCCACACUGGAACUGAGACACGGUCCAGACUCCUACGGGAGGCAGCAGUGGGGAAUAUUGCACAAUGGGCGCAAGCCUGAUGCAGCCAUGCCGCGUGUGUGAAGAAGGCCUUCGGGUUGUAAAGCACUUUCAGCGGGGAGGAAGGCGUUAAGGUUAAUAACCUUGGCGAUUGACGUUACCCGCAGAAGAAGCACCGGCUAACUCCGUGCCAGCAGCCGCGGUAAUACGGAGGGUGCAAGCGUUAAUCGGAAUUACUGGGCGUAAAGCGCACGCAGGCGGUCUGUCAAGUCGGAUGUGAAAUCCCCGGGCUCAACCUGGGAACUGCAUUCGAAACUGGCAGGCUAGAGUCUUGUAGAGGGGGGUAGAAUUCCAGGUGUAGCGGUGAAAUGCGUAGAGAUCUGGAGGAAUACCGGUGGCGAAGGCGGCCCCCUGGACAAAGACUGACGCUCAGGUGCGAAAGCGUGGGGAGCAAACAGGAUUAGAUACCCUGGUAGUCCACGCCGUAAACGAUGUCGAUUUGGAGGUUGUGCCCUUGAGGCGUGGCUUCCGGAGCUAACGCGUUAAAUCGACCGCCUGGGGAGUACGGCCGCAAGGUUAAAACUCAAAUGAAUUGACGGGGGCCCGCACAAGCGGUGGAGCAUGUGGUUUAAUUCGAUGCAACGCGAAGAACCUUACCUGGUCUUGACAUCCACAGAACUUUCCAGAGAUGGAUUGGUGCCUUCGGGAACUGUGAGACAGGUGCUGCAUGGCUGUCGUCAGCUCGUGUUGUGAAAUGUUGGGUUAAGUCCCGCAACGAGCGCAACCCUUAUCCUUUGUUGCCAGCGGUUAGGCCGGGAACUCAAAGGAGACUGCCAGUGAUAAACUGGAGGAAGGUGGGGAUGACGUCAAGUCAUCAUGGCCCUUACGACCAGGGCUACACACGUGCUACAAUGGCAUAUACAAAGAGAAGCGACCUCGCGAGAGCAAGCGGACCUCAUAAAGUAUGUCGUAGUCCGGAUUGGAGUCUGCAACUCGACUCCAUGAAGUCGGAAUCGCUAGUAAUCGUAGAUCAGAAUGCUACGGUGAAUACGUUCCCGGGCCUUGUACACACCGCCCGUCACACCAUGGGAGUGGGUUGCAAAAGAAGUAGGUAGCUUAACCUUCGGGAGGGCGCUUACCACUUUGUGAUUCAUGACUGGGGUGAAGUCGUAACAAGGUAACCGUAGGGGAACCUGCGGUUGGAUCACCU